RNAcentral lists this ribosomal RNA (1236 nucleotides) under metagenome. RNAcentral describes it as "bacterial LSU rRNA". It matches the Rfam family "Bacterial large subunit ribosomal RNA", at positions 1564 to 2808 of the family's 2925-position model. The record is from RNAcentral.
UGAAUACGAGACGCUAAGGCGUCGAAGUAGUGUAUGUCAUACUUCCAAGAAAAGCUUGCACUGUCAUAAGUAAAAAAUGCCUGUACCAUAACCGACACAGGUGGGUAGGUAGAGUAUACUAAGGGGCGCGAGAUAACUCUCUCUAAGGAACUCGGCAAAAUAACUCCGUAACUUCGGGAGAAGGAGUACCUUAUUCUAUAAGGUUGCAAUAACAAGAUCCAAGCAACUGUUUAUCAAAAACACAGGUCUCCGCUAAGUCGUAAGACGAUGUAUGGGGGCUGACGCCUGCCCAGUGCCAGAAGGUUAAAGAAGUCGGUUAGCAUUAGCGAAGCUGGUAACUGAAGCCCUGGUGAACGGCGGCCGUAACUAUAACGGUCCUAAGGUAGCGAAAUUCCUUGUCGGGUAAGUUCCGACCCGCACGAAAGGCGUAAUGAUUUGGAUACUGUCUCGGAGAGGGGCUCGGUGAAAUAGACUUGUCUGUGAAGAUGCGGACUACCUGCACCAGGACAGAAAGACCCUAUGAAGCUUUACUGUAACUUGAAAUUGAAAUUGGACUUUAUUCGCGCAGUAUAGGUGGGAGGUGUUGAUUAUAAUCUUGCGGGAUUACUGGAGCCAUCAGUGAGAUACCACUCUUGUAACGUUAGAUUUCUAACUUUGAAUCAUUAUCUGGUCAAAGGACAGUUUCAGGCGGGCAGUUUGACUGGGGCGGUCGCCUCCCAAACGGUAACGGAGGCGUACAAAGGUUUCCUCUGAACGGGUAGAAAUCGUAUCUAGAGUGUAAAGGCAUAAGGAAGCUUGACUGUGAGACCUACAAGUCGAACAGGGACGAAAGUCGGUCUUAGUGAUCUGACGGUACUGAGUGGAAAGGCCGUCACUCAACGGAUAAAAGUUACUCUAAGGAUAACAGGCUUAUCUCCCCCAAGAGUUCACAUCGACGGGGAGGUUUGGCACCUCGAUGUCGGCUCAUCGCAUCCUGGGGCGGUAGUACGUCCCAAGGGUUGGGCUGUUCGCCCAUGAAAGCGGUACGCGAGCUGGGUUCAGAACGUCGUGAGACAGUUCGGUCCAUAUCCGGUGUAGGCGUUAGAAUAUUGAGAGGAGCCUUCUUUAGUACGAGAGGACCGAGAAGGACAUACCUCUGGUGUACCAGUUAUCGUGCCAACGGUAAACGCUGGGUAGCUAUGUAUGGAGUGGAUAACCGCUGAAAGCAUCUAAGUGGGAAGCCCACCUCAAGAUAAG